GAAGGUAUAGCUCAAAGUGUUAGAGCAGAUGUUUAGCAUGCAGGAGGUCCUGGGUUCAAUUCCCAGUACCUCUU
This is a transfer RNA of Camelus ferus (Wild Bactrian camel), 74 nucleotides long. It matches the Rfam family "tRNA". From Rfam's summary of the family: Transfer RNA (tRNA) molecules are approximately 80 nucleotides in length. Lineage: Eukaryota; Metazoa; Chordata; Mammalia; Artiodactyla; Camelidae. The record is from Rfam.